CCCUUAGAUGUUCUGGGCCGCACGCGUGCUACACUGAGUAAAUCAAUGGGUAAGGGAACACGAAAGUGCAACCUAAUCUUGAAAUUUGCUCGUGAUGGGGAUCGACGGUUGCAAUUUUCCGUCGUGAACGAGGAAUACCUUGUAGGCGCGUGUCAUCAUCACGCGCCGAAUACGUCCCUGCCCUUUGUACACACCGCCCGUCGCUCCUACCGAUUGAGUGAUCCGGUGAGGCUCUGGGACCUGGACGGAAAGGGCGUUUCGCUUGUUCUGUUUGGGAAACUUGGUCGAACCUUAUCAUUUAGAGGAAGGAGAAGUCGUAACA
This 322-nucleotide ribosomal RNA is filed under the name uncultured eukaryote. Its description in RNAcentral is "partial 18S ribosomal RNA". It matches the Rfam family "Eukaryotic small subunit ribosomal RNA", at positions 1470 to 1796 of the family's 1831-position model. The record is from RNAcentral.